This 2456-nucleotide long non-coding RNA is filed under the name Pelobates cultripes (western spadefoot toad). Lineage: Eukaryota; Metazoa; Chordata; Amphibia; Anura; Pelobatidae. The record is from RNAcentral.
AGAUUAAACUAAAUGCUUGCAAAUAUCAUUAAUAGGUUAACAUACCCUUCUGAACAUGUCAUCAUGUCAGCCUCUCUGUCAUUUUAAGAUGGAGCAGUGUCUGUCUCCAAGUCUCUCCUCUGUUUCUUAAUAUUUAAAAGUACAACUAUUUAUACCUUAGGUGUCUCCAUUUUAAGGUUACUGUAGUUCAUAUAUGAAAAAGUAACACUUCUUUUACUUUAUUCAUUUUAGGACCUCCCUUAAUUUGGCAAACAUACAAGGCCAUAACUAAAGGGUGCAUACGUCAUGGAAAUUUUCCUGACUUUGUUCAAGAUGGCAUCUUAAAGUCUGAAUAGCUUAUCUGUUGUUUAUACUAAGUUGUAAGUGCACAGUCGUGGGAGAUUCCCAGAUUUGGGGAAGUUCCAUUAACUUGGGGUUACAACAGUAUAUUGUGUACUGAAAGAGUUGUAGUAUAGCCUUGAAGCUUGUUUAUGCAUAAUCGUUAUUGUAAUUUAUCUGGGACAAAAUGGCGCAAACAUAUUAUGCACUGAGGUUAUUGCUUAAAGAAACAUCUAUGAAAAACAAUAUGUUCCAUUUCUAACACCUUGUCAAUCUGCAAUAUCUCUUAAAGACAAAGUACACAGUUUAAGAAAUACAACAUUUCAUUCUAAAACUUGUAAUAUUUGCAUUGUCCCAUAACAACCUUCUCAACAUGGCCGCAAUACGCAGCUAACUCCGGUUUAUCGAUUCCGGUUUCCGUCCUAAUCAGCAGUUGUCACUUCCAGUUUCGUCAUUGCGGCGCCAUAUCCGGCGGCCGCAUAGUGACGUAUUCAUGUUCGUCAAGGGGAGGGGUAGGCGGAAUACAUCCCAGUAUAAUUUAAAGUCCAUACAGAGACCAUAUUUGAAGAGGGAAAGAAUAAGGGCAACAGAAGAAUCAAAUUGUUAGAUAUUAAUUCAGUCAGAAUAUGACAUAUUAUCACAGGAAAUAGAAAGUGAGAUGUAAACUAUAUAUAUAAAAUGCUGACAGUUAAAACUAAAAUAUAAAAUAAAAAAAGAUAAAAGAUAAAACAUAUCACUCAACAGAAUUUAGCUAUUUAGGACAUAUUGCAUAAAUGAUAUACAUUAAGCAAAUAAUAAUUAUAGGACAUACAAAUAAAAGUGUAAAAGAUAAUUGGGACUAGAAAUAAAAAGUUGUUUUAAAUUAUAAAAUGGGACCUAUCUCAAAGUCAAUAUUUAAUCCUUUAGGACAUAAUGUUUGGAGCUCUAAAAUCCAACUAGAUUCCUUUUUAUUUAGAUUAAAUGCAGUAUUCCCUCCUUUCCAAUGGGUUUAAACCUGCUGUAUUGCUGUAAAUUCUAUUUCAUCAGGAUUUUAAUUGAUUAAAAAAAAUGAUUAGACACACUAUGAUUUACAAAACCAUUUUUUAUAUUUCUAACAUGUUCGUACAUCCUUGCCUUUAGGGGUCUAGAGGGUUUACCUAUGUAUUGUAAGCCACAGGUACAUUGUAAUAAAUAUGAGAUUUCUAGAGUCACAUGUAAUAAAAUAAUUCUUAUUAAACCUUUUUUUAGUUAUGUUAGAUACAAAGUUAUUUUUCUUUUUUAUGCUCACUUUAGUGUUUUUGCAGGCAUAACAGUUCCCACAAUGAUAAAAUCCCUUCGCUGUCUUAGACCAAUUGAUUAAAACAUUUACUGUCCACUUCCUGUUUCUCUACAUAAUUAGAUGUUAAAAUCUGCUUAAAGUUUUUUGCCCCUCUAAAAAUAAACUUGGGGUUAUCGCCAAUAAAUUCGUGGACAUCGUGGUGUUGAUUUAAAAUGUUCCAAUUUUUCUUUAUAAUCCUUUUCAAUGACCCUAUAUUACGGCAGUAAUCAAAAAUCAACGGGAUUUGCUUGGUUUGUAUAUUUUGAUCCCUCUUUUUAUAAUUUAAUAACUGGGGUCUAUCCAAAUCUUUUACGUUAUCUAUGUCUUACUGAAGUUUUUCUUCACAAAGAGUUGUUUUCAAAUUGACGACUGUGCAUUAAAAUCAAUGUGGUCUGAGCAGUUUCUUUUUAAUCUUAAAAAUUGACCCUUGGGGAUAUUCUGAAGCCACGGAUCAUAAUGACAGCUGCUAGUUUCUAUGAAACUGUUUACGUCCACUUGUUUAAAAAAAGUUUGGGUCUUAAAAUGUUGUUCAGAAACAUAAAUAUUAAGAUCCAAAAAGUCUAUAGUUUCUGGGCUUACACACUUCGUAAGAUUAAUCCUCCAUUCAUUAAGAUUUAGGUAAUUAAAAAAAUUAAAAUCUGCUUCAGCUAUGUCCCUGGUGUAUGAACAAAUUUUCCCAGGACAUAAAUAAGUUGGCAUAACUGGGGGCAAACCUGGUCCCCAUAGCAUUGCCUCUAGUUUGCAGAGCUGCAGACUGGAGCGUUAACCCACCGGGGAGAGACACUGGACCACCAGGGAAUUUAAUAAAGGCAGGACCCAGCCCCCUCCCCACACUGUAACC